This 253-nucleotide ribosomal RNA is filed under the name uncultured bacterium. RNAcentral's name for it is "partial 16S ribosomal RNA". It matches the Rfam family "Bacterial small subunit ribosomal RNA", at positions 524 to 776 of the family's 1533-position model. The record is from RNAcentral.
UACGGAGGGUGCAAGCGUUGCUCGGAAUUAUUGGGCGUAAAGGGUAGGUAGGUGGUCUCAUUUGUCCGGGGUGAAAGCCUGGGGCUUAACCCCAGAAGUGCCCCGGAAACGGUGAGACUCGAGUACUGGAGAGGGUGGUGGAAUUCCCGGUGUAGCGGUGAAAUGCGUAGAGAUCGGGAGGAACACCAGAGGCGAAGGCGGCCACCUGGACAGUGACUGACACUCAACUACGAAAGCGUGGGGAGCAAACAGG